GAUGAACGCUGGCGGCGUGCCUAAUACAUGCCAGUCGAGCGAACAGAUAAGGAGCUUGCUCCUUUGACGUUAGCGGCGGACGGGUGAGUAACACGUGGAUAACCUACCUAUAAGACUGGGAUAACUUCGGGAAACCGGAGCUAAUACCGGAUAAGAUUUUGAACCGCAUGGUUCAAUAGUGAAAGACGGCCUUGCUGUCACUUAUAGAUGGAUCCGCGCCGUAUUAGCUAGUUGGUAAGGUAACGGCUUACCAAGGCAACGAUACGUAGCCGACCUGAGAGGGUGAUCGGCCACACUGGAACUGAGACACGGUCCAGACUCCUACGGGAGGCAGCAGUAGGGAAUCUUCCGCAAUGGGCGAAAGCCUGACGGAGCAACGCCGCGUGAGUGAUGAAGGUCUUCGGAUCGUAAAACUCUGUUAUCAGGGAAGAACAAACGUGUAAGUAACUGUGCACGUCUUGACGGUACCUGAUCAGAAAGCCACGGCUAACUACGUG
Molecule: ribosomal RNA, 497 nt
Filed under: uncultured bacterium
Lineage: Bacteria
Description: partial 16S ribosomal RNA
Rfam family: Bacterial small subunit ribosomal RNA
Source: RNAcentral